Molecule: ribosomal RNA, 484 nt
Filed under: uncultured bacterium
Lineage: Bacteria
Description: partial 16S ribosomal RNA
Rfam family: Bacterial small subunit ribosomal RNA
Source: RNAcentral
AUUGAACGCUGGCGGCAGGCCUAACACAUGCAAGUCGAGCGGAUGAAGGGAGCUUGCUUCUGGAUUCAGCGGCGGACGGGUGGGUAAUGCCUAGGAAUCUGCCUGGUAGUGGGGGAUAACGUCCGGAAACGGGCGCUAAUACCGCAUACGUCCUGAGGGAGUAAGGGGGGGAGCUUCGGACCUCACGCUAUUAGAUGAGCCUAGGUCGGAUUAGCUAGUUGGUGGGGUAAAGGCCUACCAAGGCGACGAUCCGUAACUGGUCUGAGAGGAUGAUCAGUCACACUGGAACUGAGACACGGUCCAGACUCCUACGGGAGGCAGCAGUGGGGAAUAUUGGACAAUGGGCGAAAGCCUGAUCCAGCCAUGCCGCGUGUGUGAAGAAGGUCUUCGGAUUGUAAAGCACUUUAAGUUGGAAGGAAGUGCAGUAGGUUAAUACCUUGCUAUUUUGACGGUACCAACAGAAUAAGCACCGGCUAACUUCGUG